CCAUGUGCUCCAGCAGCCGCUGGUCCGAGGAGGUGCUGCUGCUGCUGCUGAUGGAGCUGGGCCGCCCGCUGAAGGAGAUCCAGGGGUUUCCAAGAAUUUUCCAACUAUUGAAGCAUGACAAGCUUUUGUGAAGAAGGGAUGGAGAAAUUGCCAUGGAUGGAGGAAAGCUGAGCCUGCACUGGGAUUGGGUGUGUGUUUCCGAGUGAGAGCCGCGUUAUGGGUCAUGGGCAAAUGCAAUUUAACAAGGAAAGGACAGAAGAGGGAGACUCCCUGAAGAACAGCUUUUCCAGAAGGUUGCAUAAAAUCUUACUGGCCUUCAAAUCUGUCAGAUGGGUGCUUUUGAAAAUAAA
Molecule: long non-coding RNA, 350 nt
Organism: Oenanthe melanoleuca
Lineage: Eukaryota; Metazoa; Chordata; Aves; Passeriformes; Muscicapidae
Exons: 3
Source: RefSeq, a predicted model, not a curated record